GACGUAACGAUACUUCUGUUAUUACUGGGCGAGGUGUAGUUGGCGGAUAAUGACUUCCCUUGCAUAAAAUGCAACGAGCGAUACUUUGUUGUUCGCUUAUUCCAAUUAUAAAAUAAUGGUCUGCUUUACCCUUAGACUGUUCCAGAUUUAUUAAUGUAAUAUAACGGAUGGGAUCCAAAAUCGGUGAUUCCUAACCACAUUAAUUCUGAUGAUGAUGACAAAGGAAGACAUAUUGUUCGACUAAUUAAAUUUACUCCCCGAAUUUGAAUUGACAGUAAAUUCAUACACUGAUCUCCUGACGCCCCUAUUUAAAUAUCUCAUUUUUUAACAAGAACUUGUUAAAAAAUAAAAAUCCAUUCAUUGCUACUAUAGGACCCGGCAGAGCUACAAUUUCACGCUGGGUGCCUCCUACAGUAAAAAUUCUUAAAUGUCUCCUGGACGUUGCAAGUGCUACAAAAUUAUCACCAGCUGCAAUACAAUGUCCUUCUUCAUCUUCAGGAAGAUCUAAUGACCAUUCCUUAUUUCCAGAACCCCAAC
Molecule: unclassified non-coding RNA, 537 nt
Filed under: Bombus terrestris (buff-tailed bumblebee)
Lineage: Eukaryota; Metazoa; Arthropoda; Insecta; Hymenoptera; Apidae
Description: misc RNA ENSBTSG00005037372.1
Source: RNAcentral